UGCCAGCCGCCGCGGUAAUACGGAGGGUGCAAGCAUUAAUCGGAAUUAUUGGGCGUAAAGGGCGCGUAGGCGGAACUGUAAGUCAGAUGUGAAAUACCGGGGCUCAACCCCGGUGCUGCCUUUGAAACUACAGAUCUAGAGGAUAGACGGAGAAAACGGAAUUCCACAUGUAGCGGUGAAAUGCGUGGAUAUGUGGAAGAACACCUGUGGCGAAAGCGGUUUUCUAGUUUAUUCCUGACGCUGAGGCGCGAGAGCAAGGGGAGCGAACAGGAUUAGAUA
RNAcentral lists this ribosomal RNA (279 nucleotides) under uncultured bacterium. Its description in RNAcentral is "partial 16S ribosomal RNA". It matches the Rfam family "Bacterial small subunit ribosomal RNA", at positions 506 to 784 of the family's 1533-position model. The record is from RNAcentral.